AGCCCUAGCUCAAGGAUAGAGCAUCUGCUCUGCAUGCAGAAAGUCUUGGGUUCAAUUCCUGGCAUCUCUA
This is a non-coding RNA of Podarcis lilfordi (Lilford's wall lizard), 70 nucleotides long. NCBI's taxonomy places the organism in Eukaryota, Metazoa, Chordata, Lepidosauria, Squamata, Lacertidae. The record is from the annotation of a GenBank genome assembly.